GAUGAACGCUGGCGGCGUGCCUAAUACAUGCAAGUCGAGCGAACGGACGAGAAGCUUGCUUCUCUGAUGUUAGCGGCGGACGGGUGAGUAACACGUGGAUAACCUACCUAUAAGACUGUGAUAACUUCGGGAAACCGGAGCUAAUACCGGAUAAUAUUUUGAACCGCAUGGUUCAAAAGUGAAAGACGGUCUUGCUGUCACUUAUAGAUGGAUCCGCGCUGCAUUAGCUAGUUGGUAAGGUAACGGCUUACCAAGGCAACGAUGCAUAGCCGACCUGAGAGGGUGAUCGGCCACACUGGAACUGAGACACGGUCCAGACUCCUACGGGAGGCAGCAGUAGGGAAUCUUCCGCAAUGGGCGAAGGCCUGACGGAGCAACGCCGCGUGAGUGAUGAAGGUCUUCGGAUCGUAAAACUCUGUUAUUAGGGAAGAACAUAUGUGUAAGUAACUGUGCACAUCUUGACGGUACCUAAUCAGAAAGCCACGGCUAACUACGUG
This 497-nucleotide ribosomal RNA is filed under the name uncultured bacterium. RNAcentral describes it as "partial 16S ribosomal RNA". It matches the Rfam family "Bacterial small subunit ribosomal RNA", at positions 28 to 507 of the family's 1533-position model. The record is from RNAcentral.